UACGUAGGGUGCGAGCGUUGUCCGGAAUUAUUGGGCGUAAAGCGCUCGUAGGCGGUUCGUCGCGUCGUGCGUGAAAGACCCCGGCUCAACUGGGGAGGGUCGUGCGAUACGGGCGAACUGGAGGCCAGUAGGGGGAUGCGGAAUUCCGGGUGUAGUGGUGGAAUGCGUAGAGAUCCGGAGGAACACCAGCGGCGAAGGCGGCAUCCUGGACUGGUCCUGACACUCAGGAGCGAAAGCGUGGGGAGCGAUCCGG
This 253-nucleotide ribosomal RNA is filed under the name uncultured bacterium. Its description in RNAcentral is "partial 16S ribosomal RNA". It matches the Rfam family "Bacterial small subunit ribosomal RNA", at positions 524 to 776 of the family's 1533-position model. The record is from RNAcentral.